GAAAAGGAUUAAAUGUCUUUUACAAAAACGGAACGGAAUAGGGCCGGUGUGACGACGAUAACGUGUGAGGUAUCGGUGAGCAAGAUCUCGAGGCACUUUCUCCUAAGACUGCUCCACUCCAGGCGACGAGCCGCAACACCGGCCGCCGGUCUGCCUUCGACAGCGCCGAUCGCGACGUGCACAGGUCGCGCGACCUUGCAGGCCCGGGACCCGAACCUUCCGCCGUUCUACCCGGGCAGUGCCCAUCACGGCGGGCGGAAGCCGGCUGCACGACGCGGCGCACCCCGUCACCGGAACUGACCUCCGUUCUACCCCAGGUACCUUCGAUCGAGGCGGGCACCGCGACGCGGCGGGCCCGGUAGCGGAACCGGGCUACCCUUCCGCCCCAGCAACACCCGAGCGCCGAUCGAGGCGUGCGGAGGCCGCACGGGUCCCGACACCGACUGGCACCGGCCACCGCUCUACGGCGCCCUCCAGCGACCCAGUGUGAACUUCUUCCGCACUCGAGCUACGUUGAGUUGGACGUUUCCACUAACAUGUCAACUAACGAAGAUACAAACAUGAUCGAUUAAUCGAGAGAGAAUAGGUGGAUAUACGUGCAUGACUUUAACCUUCAUAUGGUCGAUAGGUCGAAGUAGAUAUGUAUAAGAGAUGAAAAGUUAGUGUGGUCACGUCCACUUUAGUAUUUAACCACUUUUGAGAAAAGUUUAAAUCACGGGUUCUGGUUGACCUUUCACCUUUUUAAUAGUCGCUGAUUAGUUAUAUAAAGAACUGCUAUCUUGUCAAUGUGUAGAUAUAGAUUUUCUUAACAUUCCACUUUAUAAUGUAGAGUUCCGCUUCAUAACGUAGACUUCCAUUAACAAACUCUAGUUAGAAGUCUUCGUUUCAAAUAUAUCUCGAUAAAUUUUCACAAAGAGAACACGUACUGAACUAACCGAUGGUGUCAGGACCAAAAUCACUUUGGACUUUUCGCGAAGUUCUAUGUUGUUUUCCAAAACGUUUUUUAGUGUAUGUUGUUUUCCAAAACGUUUUUUAGUGUGUCAUAAGUGUUCUCGUAAUCGUUAUAUAAAUAGAAAAAUAAACUAUGUAAUUAGAUUAUAAAUAGAAAAAUAAACUAUGUAAUUAGAGAUAGUAAUCUCAACCGUUUUCCUCUUAUACAGUUUGCUCUUUAACGUACGUCAUUUUAAAUUUUAUUUGAAUCCAACAUGAGACAAUCAUCACCUGAAACUAACAUCUAUUCUAGCUCGACUACAGAGUAAUGAUUUAGUUGAGUACUACGAUACAUAUUAUACGAAAUCGUUUUGACCAUAUUAUAGAGGGGAGAAAACCUAUUCGUCGUUUGUUUACGUCUACUAAGGCUCAAAGGUUCGUAUAAACAAAUAAAUCUAUCUUUGUUUCAUUACGUUAAGGCUUCCUAAUUAAACGUACACAAACUUGUGUUCUUUGUCCCAAUACCUUCUACUUCAUGCCCCUCGAUAAAGACUUCCUAAUUAAACGUACAGUAUCAACAAAUAAACACAAGUAGAAUAGACUCACAAUUAUUAGACAUAUAAGGUCCCCGUUGUUGGCUGGAUACACAACCUUAAAACGAUCAUCCGGAAACCGGGUUUUGGGUUGAUUUUUAGACUUUAAGAGAACCGGGUAAGUACGUGUGUACACUCACCUCACUCACUCCGAUUUCAAAUCAGGGUGGGACCUUCAACUCUCUCUCAACGUGGAGAAAUAUUCCACUCAAGAAGAUGGUGAAUAUACUCGUACUCUUCUCCUCUGGAUGUGCGCGCGAGGAGGAGGAGCGAGCGGAGCGGAGCAGGGCUGCGCGGCGCGGCGUCCAACGUCCUAACUCGGCUCGGCUCCUGUCUCGAUACGUGCAACAGAUAUAAAAACGACGUACCCUUUUAGUUACUCAGUAAUUAAUUAUUAAUUGCCUGCGCAAUUAAUGACUUGGCAAGGGCUAAGAAAACCUAGCACUACUGAGCCUGCACCCCAAAUGAGGGUGCUGGAUGGGCUGGGCGUAAUAUAUCGGUCCGUCUGCAGAUGGGAUCGACGGCGGCAAAGCAUACCAAAGAGUGGUAGCAAGGUCUAGUAACGCGGCGGUUCGUUCAGAAGAGGUAGGGAGGAAGACCGCAGGUGACGCUCUUCCCUGUUGUCCGGAGACCUUGGGGCGGAGAGCACUAGGACAUGCCCUCUCCCCGCUAGUCCAAAAACCCCUCGCGUGAGCGCGCUGACGACUGUCGCUGCUGAAGCGCUUGCUGCUGAAGAAGGGGCUGGAGCCGUUGGAGUAGGAGCUUCUGUACCCGCUGUUGCAGUUACGGCCGCCACGACGUGGGCGACGUGGCGUUAAAUGAGGCUCACCAAAAUGACGCGUAGACUUCGGUGGACGGAAAUUCCCCCGCGUUAUAUUCUCCACCACGUGCUCUCGUCAGAUGACCAAAGUCUGGUACCCGACGAUACUACAGUGGUUCCCGUUCGGACUCCCGCUAGAAUUAGGUCGUGUUGACCUUCGAAAACUCUUCUAGUUAUGCGGGAGAAAUUUCCGCGAGAAGAUUCACAAGAACUACUGAGGUAACACCUAAGCAUAUACAGCAAACUGUUGCCGUUCCUGUACACCCGACGCGAGCUCCGGUUCAAACCACGGAGCCUGCGGCCGUCGCUCAACAUGCAGUACCUCGUUAAGAUACUGAUGUUCUACUGACUACUCGCGGGACAACAUGUCGUCCGAGUACUCUAUGUCAACGAGCGUUUUCUUGAACUCAUGAAGUUCACACAGAACAACCUGUUUAAACAACGACCUCCGUAGUAACGGUUCGAAGGUGGAAGCACCUUGUUAAAACGAUGAAAGGACUUUGUGUUCUCUAUCCUCAAAAGGCAACGCCUAGAGUAACCAUGAAAACUACAACUUCUCUUCCGCUCUCGUUUUCUGUGUGCACGAGCUCAACGACUCCCUCCAAGAUCACGGGUGUACCAUGUCUUCUUCUUGAGGGUCGGGUUGUUCAAGUUUUUGUUAUUCUUGUUUUGAGUCCCGUUUCCGUUCAAACUAUGUUUCUUGUUCGGUAGUGUAAGAUGGUUGAAGUUCUUCUUAAGAGUAUUCUUCCCCUUCCCUGAAAAGGUACAGACACCACUAGGAUUAGUGACCCGAAGCUUCACAGGAUUGGUGAAACUCCUCGCGCUUGUACUCUUCUCGCCGUUCAGGCGAUUACAACAGUAGCCACUAUGACUAUACUUCCUUAGUCCCGUUGUCCCUGAAGUGGGCACGAUUACCCCUUGCCCAGUGUACGGUAGCAAGCUCCACAACCAUGCCAGCUAGACUUCAAAUGAAGCCCUUUCUGACACGCAGACUUCUUGUAAGUAGUACACGGCAGGUAGUUAUUUUUUAGAGCAAUCGCCAAGGGCAAAUACAGCUCUACCAAAAUUCAACUAAAAGCUUAGGUUAUUUCAAUAUUAAAGAUUCACACCUGUUAAACAACCUUUUCCGAUACUCACGCCUCCGAACAAGGCGGAUAGAAACAGUCUAUAAACGUGAUUUCAAUAAUUAUUACAAACGGUGUUAUUACUCAGACUAUAAACCGUAAGUGCUGACAGUAUAAUUGAAACCAACGUACUGCGCCAAUCGGUUAUACUUAAAUUAAG
RNAcentral lists this ribosomal RNA (3627 nucleotides) under Triticum aestivum (bread wheat). RNAcentral's name for it is "partial small subunit ribosomal RNA". The record is from RNAcentral. Lineage: Eukaryota; Viridiplantae; Streptophyta; Magnoliopsida; Poales; Poaceae.